RNAcentral lists this ribosomal RNA (993 nucleotides) under Triticum aestivum (bread wheat). Its description in RNAcentral is "partial small subunit ribosomal RNA". The record is from RNAcentral. Lineage: Eukaryota; Viridiplantae; Streptophyta; Magnoliopsida; Poales; Poaceae.
AUGGCGCUCAGCCUCCGGGCCGCCGCGUCCCUCGCCUCUCCGCCGUCGGGCCCACGCCCCGGCCGACGCGCCGCCUCGGUGGUCCGCGCCACGGCGUCCCCCGCGGCGCUCGGCAACCGGAACCGGCGGCGAGAGCAGAACGUCUCCGGCGAGUUCUUCGUCGAUCACCGGUGCAUCGACUGCGCCACCUGCCGGUGGAUGGCGCCGGAGGUGUUCAAGAGGGUGGACGGCAUGUCCGCCGUGGCGGCGCAGCCCAGCUCUGAGGAGGAGAGGACCAAGGCACUGCAGGCUUUGCUCUCUUGCCCAACAGCCUCGAUCCACACCGACAAGCCCGCGAAGGACAUUCUCCAAGUGCAGAACACGUUCCCGCUCCCCAUCGACGACGAUCUUCCUGGUGUUUACCUUUGCGGUUACCAUUCCGAGUCCUCAUAUGGAGCAACAUCUUAUCUCAUAGUUCACCCAGAAGGAAACAUAAUGGUUGACAGUCCAAGGUAUACGCCGAAACUGGUGGACAAGAUUGAGAAGCUCGGUGGAGCGCGCUACAUGUUUUUGACCCACAUUGAUGAUGUAGCGGAUCAUCGGAAGUGGGCCGAGCGGUUGAAAUGCGAGAGAAUCAUCCAUUCAGGAGAUGUAGUGGACAUUACUGCUGAUGUCGAGUGGAAACUUACUGGAAGUGGUCCCUGGAACAUUGGAAAUGAUUUUGAACUUAUCCAUACCCCAGGCCAUACUGAAGGCUCGGUCUGCUUGUUGUACAAACCACUAAAGGCGCUGUUCACUGGCGACCAUGUCGCAAAAUCAGAAUAUUCAGACGAACUGAAUCUCUUUCGGAUGUACAGCAAGCAAUCAGUGAAUUUGCAACUGGAUAGUAUGAGAAAGUUACUGGACCUAGAUUUUGAGUGGUAUUUACCUGGGCAUGGCUAUCGAAUCCGAUAUGAAGAUGUACAGGCCAAAAAUGCAGCUAUUGAGUCUCUCCUAGCUAACUACAAAAACUAA